CUGGCCCUCUCUGCCCUGUUUA
RNAcentral lists this microRNA (22 nucleotides) under Mus musculus (house mouse). RNAcentral's name for it is "mmu-miR-6395". Lineage: Eukaryota; Metazoa; Chordata; Mammalia; Rodentia; Muridae. The record is from miRBase by way of RNAcentral.